RNAcentral lists this ribosomal RNA (708 nucleotides) under uncultured bacterium. Its description in RNAcentral is "bacterial SSU rRNA". It matches the Rfam family "Bacterial small subunit ribosomal RNA", at positions 9 to 718 of the family's 1533-position model. The record is from RNAcentral.
GAGUUUGAUCAUGGCUCAGGAUGAACGCUAGCGGGAGGCUUAACACAUGCAAGUCGAGGGGUAUCAGUAGCAAUAUUGAGAGACCGGCGCACGGGUGAGUAACGCGUAUGCAACCUGCCCUUUACCGGGGGAUAGCCCGUAGAAAUGCGGAUUAAUACCCCAUAGUUCCCUGUUGCUGCAUGGCAAUUGGGAUAAAGCCUAGGUGGUAAAGGAUGGGCAUGCGUGACAUUAGCUUGUUGGUGAGGUAACGGCUCACCAAGGCUGCGAUGUCUAGGGGUUCUGAGAGGAAGAUCCCCCACACUGGUACUGAGACACGGACCAGACUCCUACGGGAGGCAGCAGUGAGGAAUAUUGGUCAAUGGGCGAGAGCCUGAACCAGCCAUCCCGCGUGCAGGAAGAAUGCCCUAUGGGUUGUAAACUGCUUUUUCGCAUGAAGAACACUCCGGACGUGUCUGGAGCUGACGGUAAUGCGUGAAUAAGCACCGGCUAACUCCGUGCCAGCAGCCGCGGUAAUACGGAGGGUGCAAGCGUUAUCCGGAUUUAUUGGGUUUAAAGGGUGCGUAGGCGGUAAUAUAAGUCAGUGGUGAAAUCCUGCAGCUCAACUGUAGAACAGCCAUUGAAACUGCAUUACUUGAGUAAUCUUGAGGUAGGCGGAAUGUGUAGUGUAGCGGUGAAAUGCUUAGAUAUUACACAGAACACCGAUUGCGA